This 23-nucleotide small nuclear RNA is filed under the name Arabidopsis thaliana (thale cress). RNAcentral describes it as "snRNA_10476". Lineage: Eukaryota; Viridiplantae; Streptophyta; Magnoliopsida; Brassicales; Brassicaceae. The record is from RNAcentral.
AAUCAAAUUCUGAAUGGAUUCUU